Molecule: ribosomal RNA, 498 nt
Filed under: uncultured bacterium
Lineage: Bacteria
Description: partial 16S ribosomal RNA
Rfam family: Bacterial small subunit ribosomal RNA
Source: RNAcentral
GACGAACGCUGGCGGCGUGCCUAAUACAUGCAAGUCGAACGAGAGCGACCGGUGCUUGCACUGGUCAAUCUAGUGGCGAACGGGUGAGUAACACGUGGGUAACCUGCCCAUCAGAGGGGGAUAACAUUCGGAAACGGAUGCUAAAACCGCAUAGGUCUUCGAACCGCAUGGUUUGAAGAGGAAAAGAGGCGCAAGCUUCUGCUGAUGGAUGGACCCGCGGUGCAUUAGCUAGUUGGUGAGGUAACGGCUCACCAAGGCCGUGAUGCAUAGCCGACCUGAGAGGGUGAUCGGCCACAUUGGGACUGAGACACGGCCCAAACUCCCACGGGAGGCAGCAGUAGGGAAUCUUCCGCAAUGGACGCAAGUCUGACGGAGCAACGCCGCGUGAGUGAAGAAGGUUUUCGGAUCGUAAAACUCUGUUGUUAGAGAAGAAUAAGUGCUAGAGUAACUGUUAGCGCCUUGACGGUAUCUAACCAGAAAGCCACGGCUAACUACGUG